This 429-nucleotide ribosomal RNA is filed under the name Actinomycetes bacterium. RNAcentral's name for it is "Actinobacteria bacterium partial 16S ribosomal RNA". It matches the Rfam family "Bacterial small subunit ribosomal RNA", at positions 355 to 776 of the family's 1533-position model. The record is from RNAcentral. Lineage: Bacteria; Bacillati; Actinomycetota; Actinomycetes.
UAGGGAAUCUUCCGCAAUGGGCGAAAGCUUGACGGAGCAACGCCGCGUGAGUGAUGAAGGUCUUCGGAUCGUAAAACUCUGUUAUUAGGGAAGAACAAAUGUGUAAGUAACUAUGCACGUCUUGACGGUACCUAAUCAGAAAGCCACGGCUAACUACGUGCCAGCAGCCGCGGUAAUACGUAGGUGGCAAGCGUUAUCCGGAAUUAUUGGGCGUAAAGCGUGCGUAGGCGGUUUUUUAAGUCUGAUGUGAAAGCCCACGGCUCAACCGUGGAGGGUCAUUGGAAACUGGAAAACUUGGGUGCAGAAGAGGAAAGUGGAAUUCCAUGUGUAGCGGUGAAAUGCGCAGAGAUAUGGAGGAACACCAGUGGCGAAGGCGACUUUCUGGUCUGUAACUGACGCUGAUGUGCGAAAGCGUGGGGAUCAAACAGG